Molecule: ribosomal RNA, 1372 nt
Filed under: uncultured bacterium
Lineage: Bacteria
Description: bacterial SSU rRNA
Rfam family: Bacterial small subunit ribosomal RNA
Source: RNAcentral
GAUGAACGCUGGCGGCGUGCCUAAUACAUGCAAGUCGAGCGAACGGACGAGAAGCUUGCUUCUCUGAUGUUAGCGGCGGACGGGUGAGUAGCACGUGGAUAACCUACCUAUAAGACUGGGAUAACUUCGGGAAACCGGAGCUAAUACCGGAUGAUAUUUUGAACCGCAUGGUUCAAAAGUGAAAGACGGUCUUGCUGUCACUUAUAGAUGGAUCCGCGCUGCAUUAGCUAGUUGGUAAGGUAACGGCUUACCAAGGCAACGAUGCAUAGCCGACCUGAGAGGGUGAUCGGCCACACUGGAACUGAGACACGGUCCAGACUCCUACGGGAGGCAGCAGUAGGGAAUCUUCCGCAAUGGGCGAAAGCCUGACGGAGCAACGCCGCGUGAGUGAUGAAGGUCUUCGGAUCGUAAAACUCUGUUAUUAGGGAAGAACAUAUGUGUAAGUAACUGUGCACAUCUUGACGGUACCUAAUCAGAAAGCCACGGCUAACUACGUGCCAGCAGCCGCGGUAAUACGUAGGUGGCAAGCGUUAUCCGGAAUUAUUGGGCGUAAAGCGCGCGUAGGCGGUUUUUUAAGUCUGAUGUGAAAGCCCACGGCUCAACCGUGGAGGGUCAUUGGAAACUGGAAAACUUGAGUGCAGAAGAGGAAAGUGGAAUUCCAUGUGUAGCGGUGAAAUGCGCAGAGAUAUGGAGGAACACCAGUGGCGAAGGCGACUUUCUGGUCUGUAACUGACGCUGAUGUGCGAAAGCGUGGGGAUCAAACAGGAUUAGAUACCCUGGUAGUCCACGCCGUAAACGAUGAGUGCUAAGUGUUAGGGGGUUUCCGCCCCUUAGUGCUGCAGCUAACGCAUUAAGCACUCCGCCUGGGGAGUACGACCGCAAGGUUGAAACUCAAAGGAAUUGACGGGGACCCGCACAAGCGGUGGAGCAUGUGGUUUAAUUCGAAGCAACGCGAAGAACCUUACCAAAUCUUGACAUCCUUUGACAACUCUAGAGAUAGAGCCUUCCCCUUCGGGGGACAAAGUGACAGGUGGUGCAUGGUUGUCGUCAGCUCGUGUCGUGAGAUGUUGGGUUAAGUCCCGCAACGAGCGCAACCCUUAAGCUUAGUUGCCAUCAUUAAGUUGGGCACUCUAAGUUGACUGCCGGUGACAAACCGGAGGAAGGUGGGGAUGACGUCAAAUCAUCAUGCCCCUUAUGAUUUGGGCUACACACGUGCUACAAUGGACAAUACAAAGGGCAGCGAAACCGCGAGGUCAAGCAAAUCCCAUAAAGUUGUUCUCAGUUCGGAUUGUAGUCUGCAACUCGACUACAUGAAGCUGGAAUCGCUAGUAAUCGUAGAUCAGCAUGCUACGGUGAAUACGUUCCCGGGUCU